This is a long non-coding RNA of Balaenoptera acutorostrata (minke whale), 690 nucleotides long. RefSeq lists it as uncharacterized. NCBI's taxonomy places the organism in Eukaryota, Metazoa, Chordata, Mammalia, Artiodactyla, Balaenopteridae. The transcript is spliced from 3 exons. The record is from RefSeq and is a predicted model, not a curated record.
UGCGGCAUGCGGGAUCUAGUUCCCUGACCAGGGAUUGAACCCAGGUCCCCUGCAUUGGGAGUGUGGAGUCUUAACCACUGGACCACCAGGGAAGCCCCUGAUUUGAUUUUUUAAAUGCAUGGUAUAUUUGAUGCAGAAUUAAAAAGGAGUAUGCUGAGAAGCUUCCCCCCCGUCCUACCCGCAGCACCCUGGUGGGCUUAUUGGGGUGUCUCAGUCCUUUGUGGGCUGCUGUAACGAAAUACCACAGGCUGGGCAGCUUGUAAACAAUAUAUAUUUAUUUUUCUCAGUUCUGGAGGCUGGAAGUCCAAGAUCAGGGUACCAGCACAGUCAGCUUUGUGGGAGGGCCCUCUUCCAGGUCACAGACUGCCAUCUCGCCAUGUCCUCACAUGGUGGAAGGGGCUUAUGGGAUCUCAGUUCCCUGAAUCUGGGCCACAACAGUGAAAGCACUGACUCCUAACCACUAGACCACCAGGGAACUCCUGAACGGGGACACGGGUUCGAGCCCUGGUCUGGGAGGAUCCCACAUGCCACGGAGCAACUAGGCCCGUGAGCCACAACUACUGAGCCUGCGCGUCUGGAGCUUGUGCUCCGCAACGGGAGAGGCUGCGACAGUGAGAGGCCCGUGCACCGCGAUGAAGAGUGGCCCCCACUUGCCACUAGAGAAAGCCCACGCACAGAAACGAAGACCCA